Molecule: ribosomal RNA, 450 nt
Filed under: uncultured bacterium
Lineage: Bacteria
Description: partial 16S ribosomal RNA
Rfam family: Bacterial small subunit ribosomal RNA
Source: RNAcentral
GUGGGGAAUAUUGGACAAUGGGCGAAAGCCUGAUCCAGCCAUGCCGCGUGUGUGAAGAAGGUCUUCGGAUUGUAAAGCACUUUAAGUUGGGAGGAAGGGCAGUAAGUUAAUACCUUGCUGUUUUGACGUUACCGACAGAAUAAGCACCGGCUAACUUCGUGCCAGCAGCCGCGGUAAUACGAAGGGUGCAAGCGUUAAUCGGAAUUACUGGGCGUAAAGCGCGCGUAGGUGGUUUUGUAAGUUGGAGGUGAAAUCCCCGGGCUCAACCUGGGAACUGCCUCCAAAACUGCAUGACUAGAGUACGGUAGAGGGUAGUGGAAUGUUCUGUGUAGCGGUGAAAUGCGUAGAUAUAGGAAGGAACACCAGUGGCGAAGGCGACUACCUGGACUGAUACUGACACUGAGGUGCGAAAGCGUGGGGAGCAAACAGGAUUAGAAACCCGAGUAGUCC